RNAcentral lists this ribosomal RNA (496 nucleotides) under uncultured bacterium. RNAcentral's name for it is "partial 16S ribosomal RNA". It matches the Rfam family "Bacterial small subunit ribosomal RNA", at positions 29 to 507 of the family's 1533-position model. The record is from RNAcentral.
AUGAACGCUGGCGGCGUGCCUAAUACCUGCAAGUCGAGCGAACAGACGAGGAGCUUGCUCCUCUGACGUUAGCGGCGGACGGGUGAGUAACACGUGGAUAACCUACCUAUAAGACUGGGAUAACUUCGGGAAACCGGAGCUAAUACCGGAUAAUAUAUUGAACCGCAUGGUUCAAUAGUGAAAGACGGUUUUGCUGUCACUUAUAGAUGGAUCCGCGCCGCAUUAGCUAGUUGGUAAGGUAACGGCUUACCAAGGCAACGAUCCGUAGCCGACCUGAGAGGGUGAACGUCCACCCUGGAAGUGAGACCCGGACCAGACUCCUAAGAGAGGCAGCAGUAGGGAAUCUUCCGCAAUGAAGGAAAGCCUGACGGAGCAACGCCGCGUGAAUGAUGAAGGUCUUCGGAUCGUAUAACUCUGUUAUUCGGGAAGAACAAAUGUGUAAGUAACUAUGCACGUCUUGACGGUACCUAAUCAGAAAGCCACGGCUAACUACGUG